This 402-nucleotide ribosomal RNA is filed under the name uncultured bacterium. Its description in RNAcentral is "bacterial SSU rRNA". It matches the Rfam family "Bacterial small subunit ribosomal RNA", at positions 356 to 773 of the family's 1533-position model. The record is from RNAcentral.
GGGGAAUAUUGCACAAUGGGCGAAAGCCUGACCCAGCAACGCCGCGUGAAGGAAGAAGGCUUUCGGGUUGUAAACUUCUUUGACAGGGGAAGAGUAGAAGACGGUACCCUGAAAACAAGCCACGGCUAACUACGUGCCAGCAGCCGCGGUAAUACGUAGGUGGCAAGCGUUGUCCGGAUUUACUGGGUGUAAAGGGCGUGCAGCCGGGAAGGCAAGUCAGAUGUGAAAUCCGUGGGCUUAACCCACGAACUGCAUUUGAAACUACUUUUCUUGAGUAUCGGAGAGGUAAUCGGAAUUCCUAGUGUAGCGGUGAAAUGCGUAGAUAUUAGGAAGAACACCAGUGGCGAAGGCGGAUUACUGGACGACAACUGACGGUGAGGCGCGAAAGCGUGGGGAGCAAAC